RNAcentral lists this ribosomal RNA (882 nucleotides) under uncultured Halomonas sp. RNAcentral's name for it is "bacterial SSU rRNA". It matches the Rfam family "Bacterial small subunit ribosomal RNA", at positions 12 to 884 of the family's 1533-position model. The record is from RNAcentral. Lineage: Bacteria; Pseudomonadati; Pseudomonadota; Gammaproteobacteria; Oceanospirillales; Halomonadaceae.
UUUGAUCCAGGCUCAGAUUGAACGCUGGCGGCAGGCCUAACACAUGCAAGYCGAGCGGCAGCACGGGAAGCUUGCUUCCUGGUGGCGAGCGGCGGACGGGUGAGUAAUGCAUAGGAAUCUGCCCGGUAGUGGGGGAUAACCUGGGGAAACCCAGGCUAAUACCGCAUACGUCCUACGGGAGAAAGCAGGGGCUCUUCGGACCUUGCGCUAUCGGAUGAGCCUAUGUCGGAUUAGCUGGUUGGUGAGGUAAUGGCUCACCAAGGCGACGAUCCGUAGCUGGUCUGAGAGGAUGAUCAGCCACAUCGGGACUGAGACACGGCCCGAACUCCUACGGGAGGCAGCAGUGGGGAAUAUUGGACAAUGGGCGCAAGCCUGAUCCAGCCAUGCCGCGUGUGUGAAGAAGGCCCUCGGGUUGUAAAGCACUUUCAGUGGGGAAGAAAGCCUUCCGGUUAAUACCCGGGAGGAAGGACAUCACCCACAGAAGAAGCACCGGCUAACUCCGUGCCAGCAGCCGCGGUAAUACGGAGGGUGCGAGCGUUAAUCGGAAUUACUGGGCGUAAAGCGCGCGUAGGUGGCUUGAUAAGCCGGUUGUGAAAGCCCCGGGCUCAACCUGGGAACGGCAUCCGGAACUGUCAGGCUAGAGUGCAGGAGAGGAAGGUAGAAUUCCCGGUGUAGCGGUGAAAUGCGUAGAGAUCGGGAGGAAUACCAGUGGCGAAAGCGGCCUUCUGGACUGACACUGACACUGAGGUGCGAAAGCGUGGGUAGCAAACAGGAUUAGAUACCCUGGUAGUCCACGCCGUAAACGAUGUCGACUAGCCGUUGGGUCCUUCGCGGACUUUGUGGCGCAGUUAACGCGAUAAGUCGACCGCCUGGGGGAGUACG